Molecule: ribosomal RNA, 324 nt
Filed under: uncultured eukaryote
Lineage: Eukaryota
Description: partial 18S ribosomal RNA
Rfam family: Eukaryotic small subunit ribosomal RNA
Source: RNAcentral
CCCUUAGAUGUCCUGGGCUGCACGCGCGCUACACUGAUGUGUCCAGUAAGCACCUAACCUAUUCCGAGAGGAGCGGGUAACCUUAGCAAAGCACAUCGUGAUGGGGAUAGAUUAUUGCAAUUAUUAGUCUUGAACGAAGAAUUCCUAGUAAGCACAAGUCAUCAGCUUGUGUUGAUUACGUCCCUGCCCUUUGUACACACCGCCCGUCGCUCCUACCGAUUGAAUGUUCCGGUGAGCUCUUCGGACUGCGCGGUCUGCAGUUUCUGCGUUCCGUGCGGAAAGUUGUGCAAACCUUAACAUUUAGAGGAAGGAGAAGUCGUAACA